GUAACCCCUGCAGUGCCAGGUCCAGCAGCCUAUGUUUACCUACUGUGUGUGUGCAUGCAGGGGGUCUGAUGUGUUAUACAUAAAUCAGGUGCACUGACACAAUCCUUAGGACUGACGACUCCCACCACAUAGAGUAUCAGUUCCUGUGCUCCCACCCUGGGCCCUGGCUAUAGGAAUGGCAGUAAACAGUUAACAGCAGGAGCUGCAGGAGGGGGAGAUGAAUAGGCAGUGGGCUGCACACAACACUGAUCGACUGUGGCCGUGCAGAUCAGAUGUCAGCUAGUGUGGAGAUGUCCCGAGACAGUUAAUUACCUGACGCUGCUGAGUGAUGCCAAUGUGACAAUGAUUGGUCUUGAAGUUCUUCCCUGCUUGAAAAAAUAAGACGUACAAUACAUAUGAUUGAAAAAAAAAAAGAAAAAAAGAAAUUAUAACAGAUACAAGGCUUCAGAAAAUACAGGAUACAAUAGUGAAGGCAUGGAGAAUGAACUGAUGUAAUGAAAUAAGGAAUUCACCCUGAACUUUUUUGUGUGUCCACUCCUUCACUCUUAUAUCCAAGCUGGGUGACCAGUCUUGAGCCAAGACAUAUGUUAUGUAAUGUCUUUUCCCUAUAAUGUCGAUCUGCUGUCAAGUUGGUAUGUCCCAGAUAUUUGGCAAAGAGACUCUUCUGAACAUCAGAGUACUGAGAUAAAAUCCAAGUUUCACAUGCCCUCCGUACCAUCUGGCUUGUAAUAUUUUGCAGUCUAUGCCUAGAAAGUGUUAUAGGAAAAAUAUAUUUAGGUUACAAAAACUUAAUAUUUAUCUAUUGUCAAGUUUGUUUACUGCCUUCAUAACUACAGGACAUGCUGCCAUAUGUGUUGUGUGUGGGCAGAUAAUGGGUGGCAAUGUGAAGGUAUGUGAUCAGUAUCUGUUGACAAACUCAGUACGUUAUUGUGUCUAGUAUCUAGUGCACUAAAAAUAGGCAGGUGUAUAAUAUUACACAAAAUUAAUCUAGCUUAAUUAUAAUUUACAGUUAAAUUACACCAUAAAUAUUACAAUUAACUGCAUAGUUACUAUAUUUGGGCCACCAUAAAUGUGUAUAACUUACCAGACUACUUACUUUACAUGAAAGUGACGAAGGUCGUUAGAAACUUUAUAUAUUUUAUUUCCCGAUGUUGAUAUAAAAAAUGCUUCUUGGGGAUUAUCUUCUUUUACUAAUGAAGGCCGUACCACAUCAAAAUAAGUUUUGAACCACUAGGGGGGAAAUAAAAUAAAAAAAUAUUAUAUUAUAAUAUAUUAAAUAUAUUAUAUUAUAUUAAAUAUAUUAUAUUAAAUAGAAAUAAUGGUGUUAAUAUUCAUUAAUAUUUUAAUUUUCUUUUAAAGCUCAUAUUCUAUCAUUUUGAUCUAAAAUCUAUCCUCGUGUAUCAAUGCCUAUUUCCCUAUAGGCUGUAAGCUUGUGAGCAGGGCCCUCCUACCUCUACGUCAAUCUGUUAGUACCCAGUUUUGUUUUAUCACUGUUUCCAACUGUAAAACACAAUGAUACAUACAUACCAUUUCUUCUUCUUCUGUGAGCGCAAACGUCUCCACUUGAUUUGCAGCAGUUUUAUGGUUUUUAACUCCUAUGAUAACAAGGAUUUCGGAAAUACAUUCUGAUGUGAAGGUGUGACGAACCCUUUCAUGCCAUUCCUCAACCUGAGAACAUGAGGAUUCAAUAUCAACAUUAAAUAUCACAUUUAUACUUUAUAUUUAACAUUAAUAUUGUAAGUUUCAAUAAUCAAUAUCAAAUAUUGCUUACAGUCAUAUUAGCAACCACUCCAGGUCUUUGGAGGUGUUUCAAGAUAAGUAAUGCCUCUAGAUAGUACAGAAUACAGAUCUUAUCUUUGACCAACAGUUUAUCACCGAUAUCAGCCCUGUAGAUGCAAUUCAGGAAAUCUGGUUUUGCAACAUCUAGUAGCUGAUUACAAUCCAGUGGCUGCAAUGGAUCUUUUGUCAAUCUUUUGUACCUGCAGAUCAUAUGAUUAAAAGGUUGAUUAAAAAAUGAUUGAAGUAAAAUGGAAGAUCACAAAUUAAUAUAAAGUCCAAUCUCAACCGGUACAAGUUCAAAAAGGUACAAAUGGAGGAGAUCAUAGUAACUGACAUGACAUUCAAAUUGGUUGAUCUUACUUUUUGAUGACCUUUUCCCUCGAUACACCUUUACACAGUUUUUUCUGAAUUGCAUUGAUUACUUUAAGAAAAUGUCUGCAGGCUUGAAAUAGCUGUGGAUCAGUUGCUCCAAGAUUGGUGUCUGUUGUCUGAUAUUGUAUAAAUCUCCGUAUACUUUUUAAAUAAUUAAAUUGUGUUUGGCUACAGAGA
This is a long non-coding RNA of Pseudophryne corroboree (corroboree frog), 2328 nucleotides long. RefSeq lists it as uncharacterized. The record is from RefSeq and is a predicted model, not a curated record. Lineage: Eukaryota; Metazoa; Chordata; Amphibia; Anura; Myobatrachidae. The transcript has 2 exons.